This 332-nucleotide unclassified non-coding RNA is filed under the name soil metagenome. RNAcentral describes it as "partial contains 5.8S ribosomal RNA, internal transcribed spacer 2, and large subunit ribosomal RNA". The stretch from base 1 to 120 matches the Rfam family "5.8S ribosomal RNA", at positions 35 to 154 of the family's 154-position model. The record is from RNAcentral.
GAUGAAGAACGUAGCGAAAUGCGAUAAGUAGUGUGAAUUGCAGAAUUCAGUGAAUCAUCGAAUCUUUGAACGCACAUUGCGCCCUUUGGUAUUCCUUAGGGCAUGCCUGUUCGAGCGUCAUUUAAACCUUCAAGCUAAGCUUGGUGUUGGGUGACUGUCCGCCUCACGGCGGACUCGCCUCAAAAUUAUUGGCGGCCGGUACAUUGGCUUCGAGCGCAGCAGAAACGCGAACUCGGGCCCGUCGUAUUGGCUCCCAGAAGCUAUCUUCUCAAUUUUGACCUCGGAUCAGGUAGGGAUACCCGCUGAACUUAAGCAUAUCAAUAAGCGGAGGA